Molecule: ribosomal RNA, 438 nt
Filed under: uncultured bacterium
Lineage: Bacteria
Description: bacterial SSU rRNA
Rfam family: Bacterial small subunit ribosomal RNA
Source: RNAcentral
CCUACGGGAGGCAGCAGUGGGGAAUAUUGCACAAUGGGGGAAACCCUGAUGCAGCGACGCCGCGUGAGUGAAGAAGUAUCUCGGUACGUAAAGCUCUAUCAGCAGGGAAGAAAAAAAGUCCUUUGGACUUUGGACGGUACCUGACCAAGAAGCCCCGGCUAACUACGUGCCAGCAGCCGCGGUAAUACGUAGGGGGCAAGCGUUAUCCGGAUUUACUGGGUGUAAAGGGAGCGUAGACGGCAGCGCAAGUCUGGAGUGAAAUGCCGGGGCCCAACCCCGGAACUGCUUUGGAAACUGUGCAGCUCGAGUGCAGGAGAGGUAAGCGGAAUUCCUAGUGUAGCGGUGAAAUGCGUAGAUAUUAGGAGGAACACCAGUGGCGAAGGCGGCUUACUGGACUGUAACUGACGUUGAGGCUCGAAAGCGUGGGGAGCAAACAGG